This 253-nucleotide ribosomal RNA is filed under the name uncultured bacterium. RNAcentral's name for it is "partial 16S ribosomal RNA". It matches the Rfam family "Bacterial small subunit ribosomal RNA", at positions 524 to 776 of the family's 1533-position model. The record is from RNAcentral.
UACGUAGGAUCCGAGCGUUGUCCGGAAUUAUUGGGCGUAAAGAGCUCGUAGGCGGUUUGUCGCGUCUGCUGUGAAAUCCCGAGGCUCAACCUCGGGUCUGCAGUGGGUACGGGCAGACUGGAGUGCGGUAGGGGAGAAUGGAAUUCCUGGUGUAGCGGUGGAAUGCGCAGAUAUCAGGAGGAACACCGAUGGCGAAGGCAGUUCUCUGGGCCGUAACUGACGCUGAGGAGCGAAAGCGUGGGGAGCGAACAGG